GUCUGUUUGAAGAUAUAAAGAGUCUGGCCUGCCCACUGAUAAGAUUUAAAGGGCCGCGGUAUUUUGACCGUGCAAAGGUAGCAUAAUAGUUAGGUCUUUAAUUGAGAUCUUGUAUGAAUGGUUUGACAAAAGAAAGCCUGUCUUUGUACUCAUUAGUUGAAUUUAACUUUUAAGUGAAAAGGCUUAAAUUUCUUAGGGGGACGAUAAGACCCUAUAAAACUUUAUAUGGGGCUUUAUUUAGUUAAAUUUUUGAUAAUUGUAUAAAGAUUGAUAAUAAGAGCUUUAUAUUGUGUUGGGGCGACAAAAAUAAAAUUUAUAAUAACUGUUUUUAUUUAUGACAAUUAUGUGUGUUUAUUCUUAUUUUAUGAUCCUAAUUAAAGAUUAUAAGUUUAAGUUACUUUAGGGAUAACAGCGUUAUUUUUUUUGAGAGUUCUUAUCGAAAAAAAAGUUUGCGACCUCGAUGUUGAAUUAAAAUUUCUACACAAUUGUAGGAGUUGUGUAAGAAGGUCUGUUCGACCUUUAAAUUUUUACAUGAUUUGAGUUCAAACCGGCGUGAG
Molecule: ribosomal RNA, 557 nt
Filed under: Tmethypocoelis ceratophora
Lineage: Eukaryota; Metazoa; Arthropoda; Malacostraca; Decapoda; Dotillidae
Description: partial 16S rRNA
Rfam family: Bacterial large subunit ribosomal RNA
Source: RNAcentral